GCCGAUGUAGCUCAGUGGUAGAGCACUCGAUUCGUAAUCGAGCGGUCGUCAGUUCAACUCUGAUCAUCGGCU
This 72-nucleotide transfer RNA is filed under the name Alkalinema sp. RU_4_3. Its description in RNAcentral is "tRNA-Thr". It matches the Rfam family "tRNA". From Rfam's summary of the family: Transfer RNA (tRNA) molecules are approximately 80 nucleotides in length. Their secondary structure includes four short double-helical elements and three loops (D, anti-codon, and T loops). The record is from RNAcentral. Lineage: Bacteria; Bacillati; Cyanobacteriota; Cyanophyceae; Leptolyngbyales; Leptolyngbyaceae.